Molecule: ribosomal RNA, 460 nt
Filed under: uncultured bacterium
Lineage: Bacteria
Description: partial 16S ribosomal RNA
Rfam family: Bacterial small subunit ribosomal RNA
Source: RNAcentral
CCUACGGGAGGCAGCAGUGAGGAAUAUUGGUCAAUGGACGAGCGUCUGAACCAGCCAAGUAGCGUGAAGGAUGACUGCCCUAUGGGUUGGAAACUUCUUUUAUAAAGGAAUAAAACGAGGCACGUGUGCCUUUUUGCAUGUACUUUAUGAAUAAGGAUCGGGUAACUCGGUGCCAGCAGCCGCGGUAAUACGGCAGAUCCGAGCGUUAACCGGAUUUAUGUGGUUUAAAGGGAGCGGAGCUGGGUUGUUAAGUCAGUUGUGAAAGUUUGCGGCUCAACCGUAAGAUUGCAAUGGAAACUAGCAGUCUUGAGUACAGUUGAGGUAGGCGGAAUUCGUGGUGUAGCGGUGAAAUGCUUAGAUAUCACGAAGAACCCCGAUUGCGAAGGCAGCUUACUAAACUGUGACUGACGUUGAUGCUCGAAAGUGUGGGUAUCAAACAGGAUUAGAUACCCUGGUAGUC